AAAAGCUAAAACUCAUACUUUAAAUUUAGAAAAUGAAUUUAUAAUUUUACAGAUUUUAAUGGAAAAAAAUAUAUUUACAUUUUUGUUUUUUUAAUUCUGACUCCAGUGAUUCAAAAUAGCCUUUAUAAUAAAAUAUUCAAAUCUUUUUUGAAAUUAUUAUUCGAGUAAACCUUGAGACAGUUCGUUGGAACGCGUAAAAGUCAAUUUUUCUCCAAACAACGGUAGUGAGGAAUCACUUUAACAGAAUAAUAAUUGUAUGUUGCCUAUACAAUUUUUCUCAAAGACGCCUCUAACGAUUUUGUCAGAAUUUUGUACUUAUGGCUAAACCAGUAGAUAAAAGACAAAAUCAAGAAAAACAUGAUUCUGAUGACAAUUAAAUUAUGGCUAAAUCAGUAGAUAAAUGACAAAAUCAAGAAAAACAAG
Long non-coding RNA from Acyrthosiphon pisum (pea aphid), 423 nucleotides. RefSeq lists it as uncharacterized. NCBI's taxonomy places the organism in Eukaryota, Metazoa, Arthropoda, Insecta, Hemiptera, Aphididae. The transcript is spliced from 2 exons. The record is from RefSeq and is a predicted model, not a curated record.